Long non-coding RNA from Medicago truncatula (barrel medic), 570 nucleotides. RefSeq lists it as uncharacterized. NCBI's taxonomy places the organism in Eukaryota, Viridiplantae, Streptophyta, Magnoliopsida, Fabales, Fabaceae. The record is from RefSeq and is a predicted model, not a curated record. The transcript is spliced from 3 exons.
GCUUAUAUGUAUCUCAUGAAUUUGGUGGUUUCUAGCUUUCUAUACAAGUGCAUGAAUUAUUGCAUAGUGUGUUUUGGAACAAGGUUAACCCUUGUGAUAUGUCCAUGUUACAGGUUAAGAAUGUACCUAUUCCAAAUGGUGAACCUCAAAAACCAUUAGCAUGUAGCCAAGUCUCUAACAAUAAGACUCUAGGUCAUGAAAGUGAAGUUAAUUUAGGAGGAGGUUUUAGGGAUCUUUCAAAACUUCCAACGCUGUUUCAGAGGUUAUAUUGGAGGGUUACAACGGUUGAGUAUUAGUUGAUUCUGCUACAAGUUUGCAAAUAAGGUUCAUGUAGCAGUGUGUGUGGCAGAAAUUCUCCCGAAGUUAGGAUACUCAACUGAUAAAGAUCUUAAAGAUGGGAGUCUGUUUCAUAAAAUCUUAUGUUUUCCUUGUUUGAUUUUGUAACAUUUUUGUGGAUUCAUAUGAAUGGGAUUUAGAUAUUUUUAGUUAUAUAUUUAUGUAUUUUAAGUAUUCAUUAAUAUAUUUGUUUAGAUCGUCAACAAAAAUUGCACCAUUUAAAUUUUUUUUUUU